UUUUGGACAAUGGGGGCAACCCUGAUCCAGCCAUGCCGCGUGAGUGAAGAAGGCCUUCGGGUUGUAAAGCUCUUUCGGACGGAACGAAAUGGGCGGGACUAAUACUCCUGUCUGAUGACGGUACCGUAAGAAGAAGCUCCGGCUAACUCCGUGCCAGCAGCCGCGGUAAUACGGAGGGAGCUAGCGUUGUUCGGAAUUACUGGGCGUAAAGCGUACGUAGGCGGUUAUUCAAGUCAGAGGUGAAAGCCCGGGGCUCAACCCCGGAACUGCCUUUAAACUAGGUAGCUAGAAUCUUGAGAGGUCAGUGAAUUCCGAGUGAGAGGUAAAUUCGAAUUUCGAAGACACCAGUGGCGAGGGCGCUGCUGGCAAGUUAGCGCUGCAUCAAA
RNAcentral lists this ribosomal RNA (386 nucleotides) under uncultured bacterium. RNAcentral's name for it is "bacterial SSU rRNA". It matches the Rfam family "Bacterial small subunit ribosomal RNA", at positions 362 to 757 of the family's 1533-position model. The record is from RNAcentral.